GAUGAAGAACGCAGCGAAAUGCGAUAAGUAAUGUGAAUUGCAGAAUUCAGUGAAUCAUCGAAUCUUUGAACGCACCUUGCGCCCUUUGGACUUCUGAAGGGCAUGCCUGUUUGAGUAUCAUGAACACCUCAACUCCUUAUGGUCUUCUAUGAUGAGCUUGGACUUUGGGGGUUUUGCUGGCCUACAGUCAGCUCCUCUAAAAUAAAUCAGCUUACCGGUGUUUGGUGGGUAUCAUGGGUGUGAUAACUAUCUACGCUCGUGGUUUUCCACCAGGUAACCUUCAGCAGUGGAGGUUCACUGGAGCUCAUAGAUGUCUCUCCUCAGCGAGGACAGCCCUUUGAAUGUUUGAUCUCAAAUCAGGUAGGACUACCCGCUGAACUUAAGCAUAUCAAUAAGCGGAGGA
RNAcentral lists this unclassified non-coding RNA (403 nucleotides) under soil metagenome. RNAcentral describes it as "partial contains 5.8S ribosomal RNA, internal transcribed spacer 2, and large subunit ribosomal RNA". The stretch from base 1 to 120 matches the Rfam family "5.8S ribosomal RNA", at positions 35 to 154 of the family's 154-position model. The record is from RNAcentral.